RNAcentral lists this ribosomal RNA (495 nucleotides) under uncultured bacterium. RNAcentral's name for it is "partial 16S ribosomal RNA". It matches the Rfam family "Bacterial small subunit ribosomal RNA", at positions 28 to 507 of the family's 1533-position model. The record is from RNAcentral.
GACGAACGCUGGCGGCGUGCCUAAUACAUGCAGGUAGAACGCUGAAGGAGGAGCUUGCUUCUCUGGAUGAGUUGCGAACGGGUGAGUAACGCGUAGGUAACCUGCCUGGUAGCGGGGGAUAACUAUUGGAAACGAUAGCUAAUACCGCAUAAUAUUGACUAUUGCAUGAUAGUCAGUUGAAAGGUGCAACUGCACCACUACCAGAUGGACCUGCGUUGUAUUAGCUAGUUGGUGGGGUAACGGCUCACCAAGGCGACGAUACAUAGCCGACCUGAGAGGGUGAUCGGCCACACUGGGACUGAGACACGGCCCAGACUCCUACGGGAGGCAGCAGUAGGGAAUCUUCGGCAAUGGACGGAAGUCUGACCGAGCAACGCCGCGUGAGUGAAGAAGGUUUUCGGAUCGUAAAGCUCUGUUGUAAGAGAAGAACGAGUGUGAGAGUGGAAAGCUCACACUGUGACGGUAUCUUACCAGAAAGAGACGGCUAACUACGUG